CCUGAAUUCGAAAGGGGUUGGAUACAGGUGACUCCGGCUCUUCAGGCGGCAGUCGGCUUGACGUUGCCGGACUCCCCCCCUGUAAAAAGGGGGGAUCGGUCUAUGGCUCGACGCUCGGUCGAUUGUGGGGUGCUCUCGGAGCUGGAGCGGUGCAAUUCCUCCCUAGUAGAAACGUCGCGACCCGUUGGGUGCCGGUCACAGGGCCCGUUUUGGAAGGCAAGACCGUUGCCGUCCCGGGGGAACAAACUUUCUCCCGGGCGCGCGCGGACUCCCGGUGACCCGGCCGGCUGCCCGACGGAAUGACCAGAGGAGUCGAUCCGCUGAAUGAGAAAAACACUUUGGAUGUGCAGCGUCCGGCCCGGCGCCGACGCGUGCGGGGUGCAGGGUCAGGCGUGCCAAGCCACGGCCCCGGCCCCCGCUGCGUUAGUCGGUUGGAAGCCGGUGUCCUCGGACUGGAUCGCAAACUCCCGUCUGCGACGAUCAUCUUCGGAUGAUCUCCCGC
RNAcentral lists this ribosomal RNA (502 nucleotides) under Heteronemia mexicana. Its description in RNAcentral is "partial 28S ribosomal RNA". The record is from RNAcentral. Lineage: Eukaryota; Metazoa; Arthropoda; Insecta; Phasmatodea; Heteronemiidae.